Hippocampus comes (tiger tail seahorse) is the source of this 913-nucleotide long non-coding RNA. RefSeq lists it as uncharacterized. The transcript has 2 exons. NCBI's taxonomy places the organism in Eukaryota, Metazoa, Chordata, Actinopteri, Syngnathiformes, Syngnathidae. The record is from RefSeq and is a predicted model, not a curated record.
UCACCCUACUGUAUAUUUCGGUAUAUGUUUAUUUCCAUGCAUGUCAUGAGUCCACUGCCUAAUAAUCAUUAUGAACUCUUACAUAUCCUGCUGCUGUAUGCCUGAUAUUUGAUGUUCCUUAUAGUGAGCAUGCCUACAAUUAAAUAUGACAUGCAGUACGGGUGAUUCACUGCGGAACGCAUAUGGUCACCGCAAUCCUCACAAUGCUAUAUUUAGUCAUAGUUUCCCAUUCAUUUCUUCUCCAUCAACUCAAAUAUGUAUGGCCACAUUUGUGUCUCUCCGCAGGCGCUAUCUGACGACUGGGACUCAAUGAGAGGAUCUCACAGAUUUGAUGAGAGAAAAUUGGUGAGAGCUGAGAGAGUGCCACUCGGAUCUCCGCAGUCGCAGCUUAGCAAUGUGUCUGUCAAAGUGAAGGCAGCCUUUAAAUACGCACCACAAAUCCAUUAGUGUGACACGCACGCUCACACACACGUGCGUUGAUGAUGUCAGUGAUGCAGGGGAGGAGGCGAGGAUGAUGACAUGAGCUUGUGGGAUCCGAAAAACGUCUUUAAGGCAAAAGUGAAAUGAAGAAAAUGCAUUCCUGGGACAAAAUGGAAACGUGUUACUGCGGAUUUUUUGUUAUUGUUGUUUUUUUUUUUAAGUGCACUGUACCUAAGCUUGUUUGACAGUUCAUUUGAGACAUAAUAAACCUACGCAAUGUAAACAACACCCCAUUCCAUCAGGUAGACCACAGGGUUAGGGUAUUAUUUUCUGCAUGUGUAUUUAAAAAAAAAAAAAUCAUCAAUUUACAUUCUGUAUUGAUGUACAACAAUCCCUUGGUAAUAAUGAAAAGAAGAAACUCUUUAUUGCAGUGCGCUAUUGUAUUGUAGAGCAUCAUUUGAAGGUAGGCAGAGCUAAUAAAUGAGCAAGUGAG